AUUGAACGCUGGCGGCAGGCCUAACACAUGCAAGUCGAGCGGAUGAAGGGAGCUUGCUCCUGGAUUCAGCGGCGGACGGGUGAGUAAUGCCUAGGAAUCUGCCUGGUAGUGGGGGAUAACGUCCGGAAACGGGCGCUAAUACCGCAUACGUCCUGAGGGAGAAAGUGGGGGAUCUUCGGACCUCACGCUAUCAGAUGAGCCUAGGUCGGAUUAGCUAGUUGGAGGGGUAAAGGCCUACCAAGGCGACGAUCCGUAACUGGUCUGAGAGGAUGAUCAGUCACACUGGAACUGAGACACGGUCCAGACUCCUACGGGAGGCAGCAGUGGGGAAUAUUGGACAAUGGGCGAAAGCCUGAUCCAGCCAUGCCGCGUGUGUGAAGAAGGUCCUCGGAUUGUAAAGCACUUUAAGUUGGGAGGAAGGGCAGUAAGUUAAUACCUUGCUGUUUUGACGUUACCAACAGAAUAAGCACCGGCUAACUUCGUG
Molecule: ribosomal RNA, 484 nt
Filed under: uncultured bacterium
Lineage: Bacteria
Description: partial 16S ribosomal RNA
Rfam family: Bacterial small subunit ribosomal RNA
Source: RNAcentral